AUGAACCUAUUUCAAGAAAAACGUUUUCAUAAUAUGAAGACAUUAUUUGCAUUUUUCAUUGUGAUUCUCUCAUUGGAAUACAGUCGAAUUCCUGGUGGCUACAUCACUCUGACUAGGAAAGCUAUGCAUAUGGAACCACCUGACAGUGAAGAGACCGUGAGUAGACAUUUCCAGUUUCUUUUUUCUCAUUUCAUUGAAAUGUAAUUUAUAUUGGUGUUGUUAGGUUUGUAAACAGCAAUGUGAAUUCCUUUCCAGGAAUGUGAUAUUUAUGGUGGAAGUCAUGUCUUUUUCAAAUAUACUUAUCAACUUUUUGAACUUUUAUCAGACUUAAAAGUAAGGUACUUCCUGCUGUCAAGUUAUUAUAAUCUCUAUUUUUGAUCAGUGCAAUUUUUAACUUUUUGAAUGGUGUGAUAGCUGAGCAUUGCAAAUAGGAUUCUGGGUAAAAUUAAUAAUUAAACAUUUUAAAUGAAAGGAUUUCAUAAAGUAACUUUCUUUUUUUAUAUGAUCAAAGUGACGACUUGUUGGCAGAUGACUAUUACAUGCCCUUCAAUCUGGUGAAAUGAAUAUUUAAAGGAAAAGAGCAUAUCACGUCAUUCCAUGUCAAAUUAUACACAUUUGCUAUUUGGUUCAUUAACAUAUGGUUGUGGAAAAUAUGAGUUAUAAAUUUGUUCCUCUCUUUUUUAGAGCAGUAAAGGUAAUAACAAGUUCAUCAGUCAGAAUAGAUUCAAUUAUGCUGCUAUAACAACCAACCCUACAAAUCUCAGCCAAUGAAAUUGACAAGAUUUAUUUUUAGUUCAUAAUAUGUGAACUGCAAAGGGUAGUUUAUAGGCUUAGCUCUACAUCACUCUCAGUUAGGGACUCACUAUGAAAUUGAUUGGGUGUCUGGCUAUCCUCUCAUGAUCCUUAAGACAGAAACGUUAAAAAUAAGAAAUGACACAAGAACUUCUAAUGUUUCCACCUAUAAGUCAUACAUAUUAUUUCCAUUAUAAAUUCAUUAAACCUCAAAUGCCCUGUAUUCAAUAUUGCAAUACUAUAUACAGAAUAG
RNAcentral lists this long non-coding RNA (1045 nucleotides) under Oryctolagus cuniculus (rabbit). Its description in RNAcentral is "lncRNA (ENSOCUG00000030081.1)". Lineage: Eukaryota; Metazoa; Chordata; Mammalia; Lagomorpha; Leporidae. The record is from RNAcentral.